Molecule: ribosomal RNA, 786 nt
Filed under: uncultured marine bacterium
Lineage: Bacteria
Description: bacterial SSU rRNA
Rfam family: Bacterial small subunit ribosomal RNA
Source: RNAcentral
AAAGGGUGAGUAACGCGUAGUUACGUGCCCCGAGCUCUGGAAUAGCCUCGGAAACUGAGGGUAAUGCCAGAUAAUAUCUCCGGAUCAAAGGUGUGAUUCCGGCUCGGGAGCGGACUGCGUNNACUAGCUUGUUGGUGGGGUAACGGCNUACCAAGGCUCCGAUGGGUAGCGGGCGUGAGAGCGUGGCCCGUCACACUGGGACUGAGACACUGCCCAGACACNUACGGGUGGCUGCAGUCGAGAAUCUUCGGCAAUGCGCGAAAGCGUGACCGAGCGAUGCCGCGUGCGGGAUGAAGGCCCUCGGGUUGUAAACCGCGAAAGUUGGGAGGAAGGGCCUGUGAAGAGCAGGUCUUGACCGAUCAUCAGUAAGGACGGGCUAAGUUCGUGCCAGCAGCCGCGGUAACACGAACCGUCCAAACGUUAUUCGGAAUCAUUGGGCUUAAAGGGUGCGUAGGCGGCGCGUUAAGUCGGGUGUGAAAUCCCUCAGCUCAACUGAGGAACUGCGCCCGAUACUGGCGUGCUUGAGGGAGACAGAGGUAAGCGGAACUGAUGGUGGAGCGGUGAAAUGCGUUGAUAUCAUCAGGAGCACCGGUGGCGAAAGCGGCUUACUGGGUCUCUUCUGACGCUGAGGCACGAAAGCCAGGGUAGCGAACGGGAUUAGAUACCCCGGUAGUCCUGGCUGUAAACGAUGAGCACUUGGUUGAGGACCCCCCCAUAGGUUCUCGGCCGUAGCGAAAGUGUUAAGUGCUCCGCCUGGGGAGUAUGGUCGCAAGGCUGAAACUCAAA